AACGGAGUAUUUUAUAAAGAAAUUUGAGUUUGCGUCUCAAUAGAGGAUUUUCCCUUCGUUA
RNAcentral lists this transfer RNA (61 nucleotides) under Cephalochlamys namaquensis. Its description in RNAcentral is "tRNA-Ala". Lineage: Eukaryota; Metazoa; Platyhelminthes; Cestoda; Pseudophyllidea; Cephalochlamydidae. The record is from RNAcentral.